AGUGCUGCGGUGGAGGUGGAUCCCUCGUUUAUCUUGCUGGUGACAGGAGGAAAAAUUAUCCAGAAAUCUUCCUCUUUAGGGACAGCGAUUCUGGCUUCCAGGCCCAGAAGAAAAUGCAGUGGAAGAGAUGAGUUACUCUUCUGUGGAGUGACUUCUUUCUCAAUGCUGAUGCAUGAAUCCUGAUGCAACCUCAGGACAUGAAUUAUCAUCAUUGUUAUAUGGGUCUCCAAAAUGCAGUCCUGCUCUAGAUGGUUGUCCUGCUAAUAACCAGGAAAAUGCCAGAAUGAGAAAACUGGGAGGUGGCUGAACCACGUGCACAGGAUAAUGGAUAAAAAGCAAUACAGACUGUUUAAAAAACAAAAAGAAGAAAGAGAAAC
Molecule: long non-coding RNA, 377 nt
Organism: Tyto alba (common barn owl)
Lineage: Eukaryota; Metazoa; Chordata; Aves; Strigiformes; Tytonidae
Exons: 4
Source: RefSeq, a predicted model, not a curated record